UGGGGAAUAUUGCACAAUGGGCGCAAGCCUGAUGCAGCCAUGCCGCGUGUGUGAAGAAGGCCUUCGGGUGGUAAAGCACUUUCAGCGGGGAGGAAGGCGUUAAGGUUAAUAACCUUGGCGAUUGACGUUACCCGCAGAAGAAGCACCGGCUAACUCCGUGCCAGCAGCCGCGGUAAUACGGAGGGUGCAAGCGUUAAUCGGAAUUACUGGGCGUAAAGCGCACGCAGGCGGUCUGUCAAGUCGGAUGUGAAAUCCCCGGGCUCAACCUGGGAACUGCAUUCGAAACUGGCAGGCGAGAGACUUGUAGAGGGGGGUAGAAUUCCAGGUGUAGCGGUGAAAUGCGUAGAGAUAUGGAGGAAUACAGGUGGCGAAGGCGGCCCCCUGGACAAAGACUGACGCUCAGGUGCGAUAGCGUGGGGAGCAAACAGG
Molecule: ribosomal RNA, 429 nt
Filed under: Chloroflexota bacterium
Lineage: Bacteria; Bacillati; Chloroflexota
Description: Chloroflexi bacterium partial 16S ribosomal RNA
Rfam family: Bacterial small subunit ribosomal RNA
Source: RNAcentral